CUUGAAGUCAAUUCUGAUCGUUUCCUGACUUGGAACAUGGUGCUUUAUCCACAAACAUACCAUAUCCCCUCCUGUUGGUGUACGCCUCUGUCUGGUCUCUUAACCAAACAGCUCAGUAAACACUUGCAAAUUCAAGAGGAGAGAAGAGGCUGCUAAUUGAAAGUCCUGCAUUAUCAGAACAUCUGGAAAGGAAAAUUAAGAGCAACAAGCACCAAACCCGAGCCAAGAGGAAAGCUGGGGUUCUUGGAUGUAGGCAGAUAGUUGUUUGAAUGUUUCUCCAGCACUCAUUGCAGACGUAGUUAACCAAGGGCUGCAACAAGUUGUAAGUUAAGGGGGGUUACUCCAAAGUGGGCUGUGCCCUACUCUGUUAGCGGUGUGCUCUCUGCACUCCAUCCUAGGAAGAAGGAAACCAUCACCCCGCACUGCUACAUGCGCAGUAAGGGGAGCGGAGCUGUACACUGCAGGCACAGUGGGGAGGAUCCUGUGGGGGACCAAGAGAGCUCAUUUCCUAGACAGAGCACUGAGAUGUCAUGAAUGCCUGUGUGCUAUACUCACCUUCCCCAUGGUACCGGGUGUUCUGGGUGCCUACUGAUGGCAGGAGAGCACCCUCAGCCCCACUGAGAUGUGGGGCACUGUGGUACAGAGGCAGAUCCAGGCUCUCCUGGCUUUCUAGCACCUGUGCCUCAACCACGAGGCCAAAUGCAUACUGAAGGUACCUGUAUUUUACUGCCCCCCUCUUCUGCAUUAAUUAAAACACAUCACUGCACACUUAAGCAAUUUGAAUGUUUUGGAACAAGUCUCGGGACAGCCAAGGGCAUUCAAAGUGAGGAGAAGGCUGGCAGCUUGCCUUCAGCUCUCCGGCUUACCUUGUCUAUCAGCAGCACACAUCACGCAUUGCAAAACUGUGAGAUCUCUGCAGACCCAGAAACAAUGCUCUGGAGGAGAACACAAGGCUCAAGGCAGAGAUCCUCGGUCUUCCUGGGGCUCCAUGACACUGACCGGCUGCCAACAUCUCCACUGAUCUUCUUUCAGUUUUUCCUUGUUUUAUUUUAACAUCUCUCUACGAAAAGCUGGUGGGAACCGUUACUGUAGAAGUGCUCUAUCAGAAUGAUGGCUAAGGGAAAGCUCUGCUAGAUCUGGGGUACGCCUUCCUCUUGGGGAAUUUUUGGAGCUAUCUAAGGCAAGAAAGAGGGAAUUAACAGCAUGUCAAAUAAAAUUCAGGGCUCACAGAGACUCUGUUUUGCCCUUGAGGCCGUAAUGAAGGUCAGGGUAUAAGUGAACAUUCCCCCAAAGGUCUGUUUGCCUUUCCGUCACCUAUCGGUCGUCAGCAGGACACUGCAAGAGAAGAGACCUCAGGUGACCUCCAGAGCUUCUGGUGUGCUGUGGACUCCAGGCAGCAGACAGUUGACUACAGUCUAGAAUGGAAAUGAAGGACUAAUUUGCCCAGGGACAUUCCCUUUUGUAUUUUAAAGUAAUGCAAAGUGUCUUUUCACUUUCAGCUCUGGAUUUCAGGCCUAAGAUGAAGAGUCACUGCCAUUAGUUCCACACCAUCACAAUUGUAACAUCAAAACAAGCACUGUAUUAAAAAUAAACACAGCAGGCAUUCACUGGCAUGAUUAAAAUGUAUACAUAUGGGUG
This is a long non-coding RNA of Gallus gallus (chicken), 1638 nucleotides long. The record is from Ensembl. NCBI's taxonomy places the organism in Eukaryota, Metazoa, Chordata, Aves, Galliformes, Phasianidae.